RNAcentral lists this ribosomal RNA (519 nucleotides) under uncultured eukaryote. RNAcentral's name for it is "SSU rRNA". It matches the Rfam family "Eukaryotic small subunit ribosomal RNA", at positions 1161 to 1699 of the family's 1831-position model. The record is from RNAcentral.
AGGGCACCACCAGGAGUGGAGCCUGCGGCUUAAUUUGACUCAACACGGGAAAACUCACCCGGCCCGGACACUGGAAGGAUUGACAGAUUGAGAGCUCUUUCUUGAUUCAGUGGGUGGUGGUGCAUGGCCGUUCUUAGUUGGUGGAGUGAUUUGUCUGGUUAAUUCCGAUAACGAACGAGACUCUAGCCUACUAAAUAGAUCGUCGGCUUACAAACGCCGACGAGACUUCUUAGAGGGACAGACGGCGAUUCAGCCGCACGAAACAGAGCAAUAACGGGUCUGUGAUGCCCUUAGAUGUCCGGGGCCGCACGCGCGCUACACUGAAGUGAUCAGCGUGCUUUUUCAACCUACUCUGUCAAGAGUGGGGAACCCAAUGAACCUUCUUCGUGAUUGGGAUAGGGGAUUGUAAUUAUUCCCCUUGAACGAGGAAUUCCCAGUAAGCGCGAGUCAUAAGCUCGCGUUGAUUACGUCCCUGCCCUUUGUACACACCGCCCGUCGCUACUACCGAUUGAAUGUUUU